RNAcentral lists this ribosomal RNA (660 nucleotides) under uncultured bacterium. Its description in RNAcentral is "bacterial SSU rRNA". It matches the Rfam family "Bacterial small subunit ribosomal RNA", at positions 94 to 788 of the family's 1533-position model. The record is from RNAcentral.
AGUGGCGGACGGGUGAGUAACGCGUGAGAAUCUGCCUUGGGGUCGGGGACAACCACUGGAAACGGUGGCUAAUACCGGAUAAGCCGAUUGGUGAAAGAUUUAUUGCCCGAAGAGGAGCUCGCGUCUGAUUAGCUAGUUGGUGAGGUAAGAGCUCACCAAGGCAGCGAUCAGUAGCUGGUCUGAGAGGACGAUCAGCCACACUGGGACUGAGACACGGCCCAGACUCCUACGGGAGGCAGCAGUGGGGAAUUUUCCGCAAUGGGCGAAAGCCUGACGGAGCAAGACCGCGUGAGGGAGGAAGGCUCUUGGGUUGUAAACCUCUUUUCUCAGGGAAGAAGCUCUGACGGUACCUGAGGAAUCAGCCUCGGCUAACUCCGUGCCAGCAGCCGCGGUAAUACGGAGGAGGCAAGCGUUAUCCGGAAUUAUUGGGCGUAAAGCGUCCGCAGGUGGCGAUUCAAGUCUGCUGUCAAAGCACGGGGCUUAACUCCGUAAAAGCAGUGGAAACUGAAUAGCUAGAGUGCCGUAGGGGUAGAGGGAAUUCCCGGUGUAGCGGUGAAAUGCGUAGAGAUCGGGAAGAACAUCGGUGGCGAAAGCGCUCUACUGGACGGCAACUGACACUCAGGGACGAAAGCUAGGGGAGCGAAUGGGAUUAGAUACCCC